RNAcentral lists this ribosomal RNA (1293 nucleotides) under Triticum aestivum (bread wheat). RNAcentral's name for it is "partial small subunit ribosomal RNA". The record is from RNAcentral. Lineage: Eukaryota; Viridiplantae; Streptophyta; Magnoliopsida; Poales; Poaceae.
AUGGCGAGCGGGGAGGACCGCAUAAGCGCCCUCCCGGAGGACAUCCUCCACCAGGUGCUCCGCCUCCUGCCGGCUCAUGAGGUGGUGCGGACGUGCUUGCUCGCCCGGCGCUGGCGCGGCGUCUGGAGGUCCGUGCCCACCCUCUGCUUCACCGGAGCCAAGGGGUGGGGCAGCGCCGACAGGUUCGCCCAAUUCGUGGACCACUUGCUCCACCUCAGGUGCGGGGGCGACGGCCCGCCUCUGGAUUCCUGCGAUUUCGACUUCGAUCACGACGGAUUCAUGCUGUGGCCCGCAAACAAGCGGCGUGCCAGCAUCUGGCUCUGGAAGGCUCUGCCUCGUGUCCGGGCGCUGGGCCUUUGUAUCGUCGAGGAGCUGGAAACCUGGACACGAUUAUCUGAUAAGCAUCUCUUCUCCCAGCACCUCACUAGAUUAGAGCUUGCUGGAGUCAGUGUCAGCGACAGCGUCGUUGAUUUUUCAGGCUGUCCGGCAUUGGUGCAACUGAGUAUGGAUUAUUGCGAUGUUUUUGUCAGACAGCUGGUGUCUCCAUCCUUGAAACAUCUGCGCGUUACCCGCUGCUAUACUUCUCGCAAUUACCGCAUUCUUAUUUCUCUACCAAAUCUUGUUUCGCUCGAGUUCAUCCAGUGGGGCGAAGGAAGGGCUCCAUUGCUUGGAAGCUUGCCGCAGUUAGCAAGAGCUGAUAUUUUUCUUAACGGGGAUUGUGCUGAUCAAUGCUCUGAGGGACGGUUUGAUGGUUGUGAUGCUGAUGACAGUGAUAUCUGUUAUGGUUGUUAUUAUUAUUAUGGGGAUCCUAUACAUGGGCCUCAUUAUGACUGCAACAACUGCAUCGUUCUCAAAGGUUUGUCAGAAGCCACAGACUUGGAGUUGACAGCUUAUCAUGAUCCGACUGUUUUGAACAGGGAUUUGAAGUGGUGCCCUACAUUUACCAAGUUAAAGACUUUGCUACUCAAUGAUUGGUGUCUGGCUGCUGACCACAAUGCACUAAUUUGUUUUCUCCAACAUGCACCAAUUUUGGAGAAGCUUACCAUUCAACUUCCUGAGAAACCUUCAUAUGUAACUGGAGCAGAAGGAAUAUACAAACCAUUGGGACAGUCAGUUGCAUCCAACUGUCUUGAGAUUGUUGAAAUCAAAUGUGCAAAUGUCGAUAGCAGGGUUCACAAAAUUCUGAAGAUUCUGACUAUGUAUGGCAUACACCUUGAGCAAAUUAGUGUCCAACAGACUUGCAAAAUUCCUGGAUCUGGAUGUUUCAAUUUUGUUUGCACUGGUUUCUGCUAA